This 253-nucleotide ribosomal RNA is filed under the name uncultured bacterium. RNAcentral describes it as "partial 16S ribosomal RNA". It matches the Rfam family "Bacterial small subunit ribosomal RNA", at positions 524 to 776 of the family's 1533-position model. The record is from RNAcentral.
UACAGAGGGUGCAAGCGUUAAUCGGCCUUACUGGGCGUAAAGCGUGCGUAGUCGGUUAUCUAAGUCAGGUGUGAAAUCCCCGGGCUCAACCUGGGAAUUGCAUUUGAUACUGGAUAGCUAGAGUUCGGCAGAGGGAAGUGGAAUUUCUGGUGUAGCGGUGAAAUGCGUAGAUAUCAGAAGGAACAUCAGUGGCGAAAGCGACUUCCUGGACCAGAACUGACGAUCAGGCACGAAAGCGUGGGGAGCAAACAGG